This 300-nucleotide ribosomal RNA is filed under the name uncultured Geoglobus sp. Its description in RNAcentral is "bacterial SSU rRNA". It matches the Rfam family "Bacterial small subunit ribosomal RNA", at positions 497 to 795 of the family's 1533-position model. Lineage: Archaea; Methanobacteriati; Methanobacteriota; Archaeoglobi; Archaeoglobales; Archaeoglobaceae. The record is from RNAcentral.
CCAACUACGGGCAAGCAGCGGGGGGAUGACGUGGGGAUGGGGCGUUGGCCGGAUUGAUUUGGCGUAAAGGGGGCGUAGGGGGUUUGGCAAGCCGGGUGUGAAACCCUCGAGCUCAACGCGGGGCGGCCACUCGGAACUGCUAUGACUGGAGUCUGGUAGGGGAACACGGAAUACCUGGUGUAGCGGUGAAAUGCUUAGAUAUCAGGUGGAACACCAGUGGCGAAGGCGGUGUUCUGGGCCAGUACUGACGCUGAGGCGCGAAAGCGUGGGGAGCGAACAGGAUUAGAUACCCCGGUAGUC